Molecule: long non-coding RNA, 531 nt
Organism: Sus scrofa (pig)
Lineage: Eukaryota; Metazoa; Chordata; Mammalia; Artiodactyla; Suidae
Source: RefSeq, a predicted model, not a curated record
AGCUAAGAUGACUUCCUGCUUCCUCAGGCUUCCUGGGAUGGAACCCGUACUUGAGCAGCUGUGCAGAGAUAGACCAACGUGAUGGUGGCUCCCUGAGACGGGCCACGCGGUUGCCGGGUAUGAGAAUGAGAAAGGAGGUCUGAGCAACCACACAUAAGUGACAAAGGUUCCCUUCUUGACCAGACUCUACUCAGGCUCCCCCACCCCCCAUAUCUGCUAACCCUCCACAUCCAACCGCCUUCUCCAUCCUCCACCACUCCCUCCCCCCUGCCGGGGCGUCUGCCUUCAGCAAGAAUCCUGCCAUGACGUCACUUUAGCCAGAGCCCCUGAUGCUCCUUUUAGGGACUCUCCAACUCCUGACGCCCCCCUGCUCCUGGGUUGGAGGUUCCCACUUGUCCAUGUCGUGUUCAGAGGUCAGUCUGAGUUCUCCCCUCGUCUGCGGGGACAAACGGGGUCUCAUGAUCCCACAGCAGUGGCCCCUGUACCCAUCCGAAGGCACCCUUGAAUAAAGUCUGCCUUUCCAUGCUUUAA